GACGAACGCUGGCGGCGUGCUUAACACAUGCAAGUCGAACGGAAAGGCCCCUUUGGGGGUACUCGAGUCGCGAACGGGUGAGUAACACGUGAGUAACCUGCCCUUGACUUCGGGAUAACUUCAGGAAACUGGGGCUAAUACCGGAUAGGAAUCCUUGCUGCAUGGUGGGGGUUGGAAAGCUUCGGCGGUUUUGGAUGGACUCGCGGCUUAUCAGCUUGUUGGUGGGGUAGUGGCUUACCAAGGCUUUGACGGGUAGCCGGCCUGAGAGGGCGACCGGCCACAUUGGGACUGAGAUACGGCCCAGACUCCUACGGGAGGCAGCAGUGGGGAAGAUUGAACAAUGGGCGGAAGCCUGAUGCAGCAACGCCGCGUGCGGGAUGACGGCCUUCGGGUUGUAAACCGCUUUCAGCAGGGGCGAAGCUUGUGGUGACGGUACCUGCAGAAGAAGCACCGGCUAACUACGUG
RNAcentral lists this ribosomal RNA (465 nucleotides) under uncultured bacterium. RNAcentral's name for it is "partial 16S ribosomal RNA". It matches the Rfam family "Bacterial small subunit ribosomal RNA", at positions 28 to 507 of the family's 1533-position model. The record is from RNAcentral.